UUGUUAACACUUGACUUGACCAGUUGGUUAAACCUUUCCUUGGAAUGAAUAAUUAACCAAACAAUUUAAAACUGAUAAAUAAAUAUUUUAAAGGAAACAAUAAAAACAAAAAAUGAAAAUAAAGACGAAAAAAUUAAUGCUGACAUCUAUCAACACUUUUUCUGGUUAUCUAUUAAUUUUUCGUCUCUUCAAUUUUAAUAUCUUACAUAAAUUGACGAUAAAUGGACUCUUUUUAAAUAAAACUUAAAUUACAAUUUAAAGGUUUUAAUGUUGAUUUACCUUUGCUUAAACUUGUUCCCAUUUAAUAACUGUACAAUUUUAACCCCAACUCAAACAAUUAACUAAAACGAUUUUCCCUCUAAUCUCAUAAAAUGUUGUGUUUUUGGUGCCUUUAUUUUCCCCAAAUGAGCCUACUUUAAUUAACAUCCAUCUUAAUCCUGAUUGUGUAUAAUCUUUAAAUUAUAAGGAUUUUAAUUGAAAAAGCUCAACAUUUGUUGUGUAUAAAAGGAACAGCUUUCUCGUUUAAUUGGUUCCCAGACCCUUUCUUGGUUCAUCUCAGGCCUAACUCAGGUCUUGCUCUUGUCUCAGGCCUAACUUUGUUUCAAAUUAAUCUAACUGUAAUUGUAAACCUAACUAAUGGAGUUACAAUUUUCAAGCGAGGAUAAAUUGUAAUUUAAGUUGCUACACAUAUUUCAAUUAGAUAUAAAGUUGCUAUUUUUAGGGUUAAAUGAGCCUCUGUGAUAAAAUCAUUAUUACACUGACGAUAAUCAACAUUACCACCGUUAACACUCUGAAAGGUGUAACAAUUGAAACCAUUUAGCUGGUUAAAUUACACGUUUAAUCUAAAUGUUAAUUCGUAUUUCAAUCUUGCGUAUAUUUCAACAAUUGCUUCAACAUUCAACCAACUGAUGAAAUGUAUAAUAAGCUGUUGAUUGUAGCAAUUAUCAAUAAUCUUGCUGUUGUCCAAGGGAAACAAUUUACUAAUCAAAAAUAGCUGGCAGCUUAAACCGCAAAAAAAGCAGCGAAAAAAUGAAAACUCAUUUUCUGUUUAAAUGUAAAUUAGUAAACAAAAUGUAAAAUCAUUUCUAAAUGAUGAUUUUUGAAACUGCUGUUAACUGCCAAUUAUCACACAUCAACUCUUGAUUAACUGUGAAUUAUAAUCUACCGUUUAAUAUGCAACAUUUGUAUUUAAAAAUAUAAAACAAUUGUCUUUCAGGAAUCAACAGUUUGACCAUAACAAACCCUGACAGUUGAUUGAAACAUUUGGUCUAAAAUGUUAAUGUUGAUAAGCAAUAUACAUUAACCCUCAAGGCUGAUUUCAAUCAACUAAUCAACAAUUCCUUGUGACCUGUUUAGUUUUAAUCAAUUGAUUAGCUGUUGAUUUUACCAAUCAAACUGUCUGCUUCAUUUGUUUACUUCAAUCUAUUUUUAGGUACAAGGUGAGUUGACAUUCAAUCAGUUUUGAAUCAAACUUUCAUUUCCCUGUUUACUGUUUCAUGUUUACACUACAUUUCAAUCUGAUAAUCAAUCUGUCAAAUGACAACAAUCAACUGCUCAUCUAAUUGUUGAUAAACAUCAUCUUUAAUCAUGACCUUUUUCAAUGGUUUCAAGGGACACACAAAGGCCUCAAUCAAGAAACAAGUGUUUCCAUUUUAGGUGAAAAAAUAUGAUUGAUUAUUGGGUUAAGCUAAUUGUUUCAGUUUGUCGUUUGUCACUCUAUUUAAUUAACUCAAUGGUUAACAUCUAGAUUAAGAUGAAUAAAUCUUUAAACAUUAAUCUGUGUCAGUUUCCAUGUCAAUUACAGUUUAACAAGUUGAUUCAGUUGGUCUUCAUUUGCUUUUAACAGUUACCAGUUUGGGCACACAAUUGAAUGAUAAUUAAUUAUCUUCUGUCAAACAUUUACUUUUCUGCAUUUAACCAAUCAUUAAUUAACCAAGAUUGUUAACCAAAUCAAUUUGAAACAUUAAACAGAUUGAAAGUUAAUUUUAAAUGAAACCUUUUCACAGUUUGGAAGCUGAGAAACAUUGAUAAGUAAACAGAUGAACCAAAAAUAUUCCCAUGUAAUUGUAACAAUUAAAGGAUAUGGAAAUAUCAACAGCUAACAAUUGUUUGGUUAAAGAUGGUCAAAUGUAAUUUGACUUAAAGUGUGCCAAUUAACGGACUAGAGUUGUAUGUUCAAUUGUAUAAGUUGAAGCAAUUGUUAAUUUUUGUAAGCGAUGGGUUAAGUGUUUAACAUGUUUAUCAUUUUCACUGUAUGGCUUGUUAAUUGUUAUCGUUGGUUGAAUUUCAAUUGGCAAGUGAUUGACUGUUUUCCUGAUUGAAAACAGAUGAAUGUAGAUAAUUAAUCAUUUGUUAGAGAAGAUGAAACUUCUUUUGUGUCAAAUUUGGUCAUUACAAUUUGAGCCAGCAAUAAACAGCGUUCAUUUACAGUUGCAAUUCCGGGAAUCAGCAAAUUUGGUGUGAGUUUGUUUUCUUAAAUUGCAGUUUCAAAUUGAAUUCUGGUUAAAAGGGUUAACACAUUAAAAAUUGACUGCAGCCCAAAAUAAAUUACAAGAAACCAAAGUCCAUCCAAUGAGUUUGUAUACAGUUUGUAAUACUUGGAGGCUUUUUUUAUACUGAUCAUCAUGAUAACUGUUUAAGUUUAAAUUCAACAUAAACUUAACUAUUUAACUGCAAGGAAAGGGUCCAAUAAAGUUGCGUUUGAUUUGCUAUUUAAAUCCUGUUAUUGCUGUCCUUUUCUUGGUCCACUCAAAUAUCUGAAUGGUUUAAUAAAGAAAACGUAGAAAUCGACCAGAAAAUCAAUUAAUAUCACGCAAACUUGAGUCACAAUUAACCAUUAAAAUGAGUCAGUUAACAGGAAUAGGGAAACAAACUUGAUUACAAACCAAUUCAAAUUUAAUUUUAGGCUCUUUUCAAAUUUAACUGUCAACCAUUUAAUCAAUCAAUUAUCAUUUGAUACAUUACCAAAACAGGUGUAACCAAAAUAUUUAGACAAUCCUUUGAUU
Non-coding RNA from Tetranychus urticae (two-spotted spider mite), 3005 nucleotides. The record is from RefSeq and is a predicted model, not a curated record. NCBI's taxonomy places the organism in Eukaryota, Metazoa, Arthropoda, Arachnida, Trombidiformes, Tetranychidae.